This 67-nucleotide transfer RNA is filed under the name uncultured Sphingomonas sp. It matches the Rfam family "tRNA", at positions 5 to 66 of the family's 71-position model. From Rfam's summary of the family: Transfer RNA (tRNA) molecules are approximately 80 nucleotides in length. Their secondary structure includes four short double-helical elements and three loops (D, anti-codon, and T loops). Further hydrogen bonds mediate the characteristic L-shaped molecular structure. tRNAs have two regions of fundamental functional importance: the anti-codon, which is responsible for specific mRNA codon recognition, and the 3' end, to which the tRNAs corresponding amino acid is attached (by aminoacyl-tRNA synthetases). tRNAs cope with the degeneracy of the genetic code in two manners: having more than one tRNA (with a specific anti-codon) for a particular amino acid; and 'wobble' base-pairing, i.e. permitting non-standard base-pairing at the 3rd anti-codon position. The record is from RNAcentral. Lineage: Bacteria; Pseudomonadati; Pseudomonadota; Alphaproteobacteria; Sphingomonadales; Sphingomonadaceae.
GUGUAGCUCAGUUGGUUAGAGCGCCGGCCUGUCACGCCGGAGGUCGCGGGUUCGAGCCCCGUCACUC